RNAcentral lists this long non-coding RNA (525 nucleotides) under Ananas comosus (pineapple). Its description in RNAcentral is "long non-coding RNA (ACOM_LNC020936)". Lineage: Eukaryota; Viridiplantae; Streptophyta; Magnoliopsida; Poales; Bromeliaceae. The record is from RNAcentral.
AUUUAAAUUAGUUUUAAAAUUUAAAAUUUAAUACAUGAGAUGUAUUAGAUCUUUUGUAAUAAUUUUACGAAAAUUGCGAUUCUUGAAAUAAAUAAAGAUUUAUUUUAAAUUAAUCCGAAACCCAAUUAAUUAGAAUUCGAAUUAGAGAAUUUAUUUUUAUAUGCAUGUGAUGUAUAUGAGGUGAUGAUCAUGGAUAGCGACUUUGUGAUGUGCAUGUAUCAUGUGAUAAUGUGAAUUGUUGUAAUUUAAUAAGGAUCCAGUAUUAGAUUAUAUUUUUUUGGUGCCUGCGCGUGCCAAUUAAAUUAUGUAAUUUGGAGACCUGCGAGUCUCAUUAAUUUUAUGGGUUGUAAAGUUAUUGUUGUAAAAUUAAUAAGGGAAAAGGGUAGUUUAGGUUCCAGAGGGAUUCGUUGUAUUCAAGAGUUGAUGCGAUGCUGAUCAAGUUUGGACCAGAUGCUGAUUAAGGGAGAAGACAAGAGUUGAUCAACUCAAAUCCGAUCGAGACGCAGAAUAAGAAAAAGUUUUUCU